This 1287-nucleotide small RNA is filed under the name Pan troglodytes (chimpanzee). RNAcentral's name for it is "retained intron". Lineage: Eukaryota; Metazoa; Chordata; Mammalia; Primates; Hominidae. The record is from RNAcentral.
GAGGCAGAGGUUGCAAGAGCCAAGAUCGUGCCACUGCACUUGAGCUUGAGCGACAGAGCGAGACUCUGUCUCCAAAAAAAAAAAUAAAGUAAAAAAUAAAAAGGCGUUCCCUGUUCAAAAUUGGGUUUAAAAUUCUCUUAUGUUCUUGGCUGACAUAAUUAUAGUUUUUUUUUUAAUUUGCCUUUUAAUAAUUUUUAUUUAGAUCUUUAUACGAAAUUUAGUUUUUAGCAUAGAAUCUUGGCACAUAGAAUUACAUAUAUGAACAUAAUAUGUAUCAUGUUACAUGCAUAUGUGCACACCGUCGAGCUUGUUAAUUGUUCUAUUUUGGCUAGCUUAGGCCCUUUUUCUUCAGGAUUAAAGAUCUGAACUAAGCCAGGCGACUGGGUAGCAGACGUGGAAGCUGAUGGUUAGGCCCAGGGCAUGGCCAGGUGACAGCUCUCCAGUCACUCAUCUCUGAUUUUCAUUUGUUACUUUUCUUACCCAGAAAGGAUCUAUGUUUAUGAAAAUAAAAAGGAAGCAUUGCAAGCUGUCAAGAUGAUCAAAGGGUCCCGAUUUAAAGCUUUUUCUACCAGAGAAGACGCUGAGAAAUUUGCUAGAGGAAUUUGUGAUUAUUUCCCUUCUCCAAGCAAAACGUCCUUACCACUGUCUCCUGUGAAAACAGCUCCACUCUUUAGCAAUGACGGGUUGAAAGAUGGUUUGUGCUUGUCGGAAUCAGAAACAGUCAACAAAGAGCGAGCGAACAGUUACAAAAAUCCCCGCACGCAGGACCUCACCGCCAAGCUUCGGAAAGCUGUGGAGAAGGGAGAGGAGGACACCUUUUCUGACCUUAUCUGGAGCAACCCCCGGUAUCUGAUAGGCUCAGGAGACAACCCCACUAUCGUGCAGGAAGGGUGCAGGUACAACGUGAUGCAUGUUGCUGCCAAAGAGAACCAGGCUUCCAUCUGCCAGCUGACUCUGGACGUCCUGGAGAACCCUGACUUCAUGAGGCUGAUGUACCCUGAUGACGACGAGGCCAUGCUGCAGAAGCGUAUCCGUUACGUGGUGGACCUGUACCUCAACACCCCCGACAAGAUGGGCUACGACACACCGUUGCAUUUUGCUUGUAAGUUUGGAAAUGCAGAUGUAGUCAACGUGCUUUCGUCACACCAUUUGAUUGUAAAAAACUCAAGGAAUAAAUAUGAUAAAACACCUGAAGAUGUAAUUUGUGAAAGAAGCAAAAAUAAAUCUGUGGAACUGAAGGAGCGGAUCAGAGAGUAUUUAAAGGGCCACUACUACGUGCCCCUCCUG